AGUGAACGCUGGCGGUAGGCCUAACACAUGCAAGUCGAACGGCAGCACAGUAAGAGCUUGCUCUUACGGGUGGCGAGUGGCGGACGGGUGAGGAAUACAUCGGAAUCUACUUUUUCGUGGGGGAUAACGUAGGGAAACUUACGCUAAUACCGCAUACGACCUACGGGUGAAAGCAGGGAAUCUUCGAACCUUGCGCGAUGGAAGGAGCCGAUGUCGGAUUAGCUAGUUGGCGGGGUAAAGGCCCACCAAGGCGACGAUCCGUAGCUGGUCUGAGAGGAUGAUCAGCCACACUGGAACUGAGACACGGUCCAGACUCCUACGGGAGGCAGCAGUGGGGAAUAUUGGACAAUGGGCGCAAGCCUGAUCCAGCCAUACCGCGUGGGUGAAGAAGGCCUUCGGGUUGUAAAGCCCUUUUGUUGGGAAAGAAAAGCAGCAGGUUAAUACCCCGCUGUUCUGACGGUACCCAAAGAAUAAGCACCGGCUAACUUCGUG
This 492-nucleotide ribosomal RNA is filed under the name uncultured bacterium. RNAcentral describes it as "partial 16S ribosomal RNA". It matches the Rfam family "Bacterial small subunit ribosomal RNA", at positions 29 to 507 of the family's 1533-position model. The record is from RNAcentral.